ACGGAAGGUCCGAGCGUUAUCCGGAUUUAUUGGGUUUAAAGGGAGCGUAGGCCGGAGAUUAAGCGUGUUGUGAAAUGCAGAUGCUCAACCUCUGCACUGCAGCAGGUACUGGUUACCUUGAGUACGCAUAAAGUGGACGGAAUUCGUGGUGUAGCGGUGGAAUGCUUAGAUAUCACGAAGAACUCCGAAUGCGAAGGCAGCGCACUGGGGCGCAACUGACGCUGAAGCGCGAAAGUGUGGGUAUCGAACAG
This 251-nucleotide ribosomal RNA is filed under the name uncultured prokaryote. Its description in RNAcentral is "partial 16S rRNA". It matches the Rfam family "Bacterial small subunit ribosomal RNA", at positions 525 to 775 of the family's 1533-position model. The record is from RNAcentral.